Molecule: long non-coding RNA, 625 nt
Filed under: Salvia miltiorrhiza (redroot sage)
Lineage: Eukaryota; Viridiplantae; Streptophyta; Magnoliopsida; Lamiales; Lamiaceae
Description: long non-coding RNA (SMIL_LNC003737)
Source: RNAcentral
GUGAAAUAGUCUCCAUAUACUAUAGAGGAUUAAGCACACAAGUGUAUACAGAAAUGCGCUCAAGUCUAUAAAAUUCGAUCAACGUGGAAAUUGAUAUUGUAGCAAAUGCAAUCCAAAAGACGCAACCAAUGGAAAGCAUCAAUUGUUGAGAUAUUGAAGAAGAGCCAACUCAAGAGGAAUAAAAGAACCGAGAAAUAAAAAAAAAAAAAAAUCCCUUCUAGAAAGAAAAAAUCCACGAUGGAGUUGCAGCCUACAGAAUCACAAAAGAAAAAAAGAAGAGUAGCCAAGAAAAAGUUUAAUGAUACAUUAAGAUUACAAGUGACGACAAUAUGCCGUUGAACAACAUUCUCUUGCAACCAAAACACAUAUAUAACUUAAAUCCAAAACCCAUAGAUUGAAAACCAAACAUUAACAUAAAUUAUCAAAUAACUACAAAAAUAAAAGAAAUUUGUCGAAUUGCAAAAAAGUAGACAUAAAAUAGCGAAAAUAAAUAAACGCCAUACUUGUCAACGAUGAUGCCUUGGCUCUGAGAACUAUUCUUUGAGAAGUUCUAAGAAUACUUGUAUAAUUUUAUGAGAAUCACAAAAAAAAAAAAAAAAACCAAAGCAAGAAAACUCAAAGGAGC